AUGGUAAAGCUAGUAUGUGACAUAAUUACUCAUAUCUUUUGCAGAAGUACAAAGCAUAGUAGCAGUGGUACUAAUACAGUAUUCAUAGCGGUAGAGGUAGUGGUAGAGGUUGUGGUAUAGGUAAUGGUAGAGGUACUGGUAGAAAUAUAAGUAGUCAUAGAGUUACAGUAGUGGUAGAGGUUGUGGUAGAGGUAGUGGUAGUGAUAAAGGUAGUGGUAGAGGUAGAGGUACUGGUAGAAAUAGAAGUAGUGGUAGAGGUUGUGGUAGAGGUAGAGGUUGUGGUAGAGGUAGAGGUUGUGGUAGAGGUAGAGGUUGUGUUAGAGGUACAGUAGUGGUAGAGGUACAGUAGUGGUAGAGGUACAGUAGUGGUAGAGGUACAGGUAGUGGUAGUGGUUGUGUUAGUGGUACAGGUAGAAGUAGUGAUAGUGGUAGAGGUGUAGGUAGUGGUAGAGGUACAGGUAGAGGUAGUGGUAGUGUUAGAAGUAGUGGUAGAGGUAGUGGUGGAGGUAGUGAUAGUGUUAGAAUUAGAGGUAAAGGUAGUGGUAGAGGUGGUGGUAGAGGAAGGGAUAGUGCUAGAAGUAGUGGUAGAGGUACAGUAGUGGUAGAGGUAGUGGUAAUGAUAGAGGUAGUGGUAAUGAUAGAGGUAGAGGUAGAGGUAGACAUAGUGGUAGAGAUAGUGGUAGAGGUAGAAGUAGAGGUAGAAGUAGAGGUAGAAGUAGAGGUAGUAGUAGAGGUAGUGGUAGUGGUAGAGGUUGUGGUAGUGGUAGAGGUACAGGUAGAAAUAGAAGUAGUGGUAGAGGUACAGUAGUGGUAGAGGUAGAGGUGUAGGUAGUGGUAGAGGUAUUGAUAGAUGUAGAGAUAGUGUUAGAAGUAGUGGUAGAGGUAAAGGUAGAGGUAGUGGUAAAGGUACAGUAGUGGUAAAGGUAGUGGUAGUGGUAGUGGUAAAGGUAGUGAUAGAGGUAGAGGUGGUGGUAGUGAUUGAGGUAGAGGUACAUAAUUGGUAGAGGUAGUGACAGAGGUAGAGGUUGUGGUAGUGAUCGAGGUAGAUGCAGUGUUAGAGGUACAGUAGAGGUAGUGAUAGAGGUAGAGGUAGUAAUAGAGGGAGUGAUAGAUGCAGUGGUCGUGGUAGUGGUAGAGGUACAGUAGUGAUAGAGGUAGAGGUACAUUAGUGAUAGAGGUAGAGGUACAGUAGUGGUAGAGGUAGUGGUGGUGGUAGUGUUAGAGGUAGUGGUAGUGUUAGAGAUCGAGGUAGAGGUUGUGGUAGUGAUCGAGGUUGUGAUAGAGGUAGAGGUGGUGUUAGAGGUACAGUAGUGGUAGAUGUACAGUAGUGGUAGAGGUAGUGGUAGAGGUAGUGAUAGUGGUAGAGGUACAGUAGUGAUAGUGGUAGAGGUACAGUAGUGAUAAGAGGUAGAUGUACAGUAGUGGUAGUGGGAGAGGUAGUGAUAGAGGUUGAGGUACAGUAGUGAUAGAGGUAGAGGUACAGUAGUGGUAGAGGUACAGUAGUGAUAGAGGUAGAGGUACAGUAGUGAUAGAGGUAGAGGUACAGUAGUGAUAGAGGUACAGUAGAUGUUGUGGUAGUGAUCGGGGUAGAGUUUGUGGUAGUGAUCGAGGUAGAUGUAGUGUUAGAGGUAGUGUUAGAUGUAGUGUUAGAGGUAGUGUUAGAGGUAGUGUUAGAGGUGGUAGUGGUGGAAGUAGUGAUAGUGUUCGAAGUGGUGGUAGAGGUACAGUAGUGGUUGAGGUUGGGAUUGUGGUGGAGGUAGAGGUAGAG
Molecule: long non-coding RNA, 1768 nt
Organism: Oncorhynchus tshawytscha (Chinook salmon)
Lineage: Eukaryota; Metazoa; Chordata; Actinopteri; Salmoniformes; Salmonidae
Source: Ensembl